Molecule: ribosomal RNA, 440 nt
Filed under: uncultured bacterium
Lineage: Bacteria
Description: partial 16S ribosomal RNA
Rfam family: Bacterial small subunit ribosomal RNA
Source: RNAcentral
CCUACGGGGGGCAGCAGUGGGGGAUAUUGCACAAUGGGGGAAACCCUGAUGCAGCGACGCCGCGUGGGUGAAGAAGCGCCUCGGCGCGUAAAGCCCUGUCAGCAGGGAAGAAAAUGACGGUACCUGAAGAAGAAGCACCGGCUAACUACGUGCCAGCAGCCGCGGUAAUACGUAGGGGGCAAGCGUUAUCCGGAUUUACUGGGUGUAAAGGGGGCGCAGACGGGGAUGCAAGCCAGGAGUGAAAGCCCGGGGCCCAACCCCGAGACUGCUCUUGGAACUGCGUGGCUAGAGUGCAGGAGGGGCAGGCGGAAUGCCUGGUGUAGCGGUGAAAUGCGUAGAUAUCAGGAGGAACACCGGUGGCGAAGGCGGCCUGCUGGACUGCAACUGACGUUGAGGCCCGAAAGCGUGGGGAGCAAACAGGAUUAGAUACCCCGGUAGUC